RNAcentral lists this ribosomal RNA (480 nucleotides) under uncultured bacterium. RNAcentral describes it as "bacterial SSU rRNA". It matches the Rfam family "Bacterial small subunit ribosomal RNA", at positions 335 to 802 of the family's 1533-position model. The record is from RNAcentral.
ACUCCUACGGGGAGGCAGCAGUAGGGGAAUCUUCCACAAUGGACGGAAACGUCUGAUGGAGCAACGCCGCGUGAGUGAAGAAGGGUUUCGGCUCGUAAAACUCUGUUGUUAAAGAAGAACAUAUCUGAGAGUAACUGUUCAGGUAUUGACGGUAUUUAACCAGAAAGCCACGGCUAACUACGUGCCAGCAGCCGCGGUAAUACGUAGGUGGCAAGCGUUGUCCGGAUUUAUUGGGGCGUAAAGCGAGCGCAGGCGGUUUUUAAGUCUGAUGUGAAAGCCUUCGGCUCAACCGAAGAAGUGCAUCGGAAACUGGGAAAACUUGAGUGCAGAAGAGGACAGUGGGAACUCCAUGUGUAGCGGUGAAAUGCGUAGAUAUAUGGAAGAACACCAGUGGCGAAGGCGGCUGUCUGGUCUGUAACUGACGCUGAGGCUCGAAAGUAUGGGGUAGCAAACAGGAUUAGAUACCCUGGUAGGAUAGCG